RNAcentral lists this ribosomal RNA (2939 nucleotides) under Bacillus sp. UFRGS-B20. RNAcentral's name for it is "bacterial LSU rRNA". It matches the Rfam family "Bacterial large subunit ribosomal RNA". The record is from RNAcentral. Lineage: Bacteria; Bacillati; Bacillota; Bacilli; Caryophanales; Bacillaceae.
UUUGGUAAGUUAGAAAGCGCGCACGGUGGAUGCCUUGACAACUAGGAGUCGAUGAAGGACGCGGACUACGCCGAUAUGCUUCGGGAGGCUGUAAGUAAGCUUGAUCCGAAAUUCCGAAGGGGGAAAACCCACCAUACGUAAUGGUUAGGAUCCUUAUCUGAAUACAUAGGGUAAGGAAGACAGACCCAGGACUGAAAAACAUCUAAGCCUGGAGGAAGAGAAAGCAAAUGCGAGUUCCUGAGUAGCGGCGAGGCGAAACGGAACAUGCCCAAACCAAUGAGGCUUGCCUCUUGGGCGUUGUGGAACAUUCUAUACGGGGAGUUACAAAGACGAGGUAAGACGAAGCGACCUGAAAGGUCCGGCGUAGAGGUAACAACCCCCGGUAGGUCGAAACUCUUCUCUCAUUGAAAUGUAUCCUGAGACGGCGGAAACACGUGAAAUUUCCGUCGGAUCUGGAGGGAAACCCAUCUCCAGGCUAAAUUACUCCUAGUGAAUCGAUAGUGACUCAGUACCGUGAGGGAAAGGUGAAAAGACCCCCGGGAAGGGGAGUGAAAGAGAUCCUGAAACGUGUGUGCCUAAAAUAGUCAGAGCCGUUAACGGGUGAGGGCCACGUGCCUUUUGGAGAAUGAACCGCGAGUUACGAUCCCGUGCGAGGUUAAGCUGAAGAGGCGGAGCCGCAGCGAAAGCGAGUCUGAAUAGGGCGCGUUAGUACUGUACCGUGAACCCGAAAAACCAGGUGAUACUACCAUGUCCAGGUGAAGUCAGUAACACUGAAUGAGGCCCGAACCCACGCCACGUUGAAAAAGUGCGGGGAUGAGGUGUGGGUAGCGGAGAAUAUCAAUCGAACCUGGAGAUAGCUGGUUCUUUCCCCGAAAUAGCUUGAGGGCUAGCCUUAAGUGUAAGAGUCUUGGAGGUUAGAGCACUGGAUUGGACUAGGGGGUCCUCAUCCGGAUUACCGAAGUUCAGUCAAACUCCGGCAAUGCCAAUGACUUAUUUUAGGGUCAAGACUGCCGAGUGAUUGAAGAUCCGUUAGUCAAAAGGAAACAGCCCAGACCGCCAGGCUAAGCUCCCAAAGUGUGUAGUAAGUUGGGAAAAGGUGUGAGAGUUGCUUAGAAACUAGGAGUGGCUUAGAAGCAGCCACCAUUAAAGAGUGCGAAUGCUCACUAGUCGAGUGACUCUUGCGCCGAAAAUUACCGGGGCUAAUACACCACCGAAGCUUGCGGAUUGAUAACCAAAUGGGUAUCAGUGGUAGGGGAGCGUUCUAAGGACAGUGAAGUCAACCGUAAGGACUGGUGGAGUGCUUAGAAGUGAGAAUGCCGGUAAUGAGUAGCGAAAGACGGUGUGAGAAAUCCCGUUCCACCGGAAUGGCCUAGGUGUUCCUGGAGGAAGGCUCGUCCGCUCAGGUUGUCAGACCUAAGCCGAGGCCGACAGGCGUAGGCCGAUGGACAACAGGUGAUAUUCGCUGUACCACCUCUUUUCGUUGAGCAAUGGAGGGGACGCAGAAGGAUAGAAGAAGCGUGCGAUUGGUUGUGCACGUUCCAAGCAGUUAGGCUAUAGUAGGCAAAUCCGCUUAGCAUAAAGGCCUGAGCUGUGAUGGGAAGCUCCUUAGGGAGCGAAGUCUUUGAUUCCCCGCUCCAAGAAAAGCUUCAGCGAGAUAAAAGGUGCCUGGACCGCAAAAACGGACACAGGUAGGCGAGGAGAGAAUCCUAAGUGUUGGGAGAAGAACUCUGGUUAGGAACUCGGCAAAAUGACCCCGUAACUUCGGCCGAGAAGGGGUGCUUUCUUACGAAAGCGCAGUGAAUAGGCCAAGCGACUGUUUCUGCAAAACACAGCUCUCUGCCUAAGCCGUUUAAGGCGAAGUAUAGGGGUGACACCUGCCCGGUGGCUGGAGGUUAAGGAGGGGGUUAGCGUAAGCGAAGCUCGGAACUGAAGCCCAGUAACGGCGGCCCGUAACCAUAACCGGUCCUAAGGGUUAAAGCGAAAUUCCUUGUCGGGUAACGUCCGACCGGCAGAAAGGUGUAACGAUGUUGGGCACUGUUCUCAACCAGAGACUCGGUGAAAUUAUUAGUACCUGUGAAGAUGCGGUUACCCCGACAGGACCCGGAAAACCCGUGGACUUUACUGUAGCCUUGGAUAUUGAAUUUUGGUACAGUUUUACAGGAUAGGCGGGGAGCCAUUGAAACCGGAGCGCUAGCUUUGGUGGAGGCGCUUGUGGAGACCGCCCUGACGUAUGAAAUUCUAACCUACGGGUCUUAUCGACCCGGAGACAGUGUCGGUGGGCAGCAGUUUGACUGGGGCGUCGCUCCUAAAGUGUAACGGACGGCGCCAAAAGGUUCCCUCAGAAUGGUUGAAAAUCAUUCGUAGAGUGCAAAGGCAUAAGGGAGCUGACUGCCGAACCUACAAGUCGAGCAGGGCGAAAGGCGGGCUCUUAGUGAUCCGGUGGUUCCGCAUGAAGGGCCAGCGCUCAACGGAUAAAAAGCUACCCCGGGGAUAACAGGCUUAUCGCCCCCAAGAGUCCACAUCGACGGGGAGUUUGCACCUCGAUGUCGGCUCAGCGGCAUCCUGGGGCUGUAGUCGGUCCAAGGGUUGGGCUUUCCGCCCAUUAAGCGGUUACGCGAGCUGGGCUUCAGAACGUCGUGAAGACAGGUUCGGUCCCAUCCGUCGUGCGUAGGAAAUUGAGAGAGCUGUCCCUUAGUACGAGAGGGACCGGGAUGGAACGCACCGCUGGUGUACCCAGGUGUUCUGCCAAGGGGCAAUAGCUGGGGCUAUGUGCGAAGGAUAAUUGCUGAAAGCAUCUAAGCAUGAAGCCCCCUCAAGAUGAGAGUUUCCCAUAGCGUAAGCUAUAAGAUCCCUGAAAGAUGAUCAGGGGAUAGGUUCGAGGUGAAGCAUGGUGACAUGAUGGAGCUGACGAAUACUAAUAGAUCGAGGACUUAACCAUA